AGGACCGGGAUGGACAUACCUCUGGUGGACCUGUCGUGGCGCCAGCCGCGCAGCAGGGUAGCUAUGUAUGGACGGGAUAAUCGCUGAAUGCAUCUAAGCGAGAAACCCACCUCAAAACCAGGUUUCCCUUGAGAGCCGUCGUAGACGACGACGUCGAUAGGCUGGGUGUGGACGCGCCGCGAGGCGUGGAGCUAACCAGUACUAAUUGCUCGAUAGGCUUGAUCUUG
This 227-nucleotide ribosomal RNA is filed under the name Henriciella sp. Its description in RNAcentral is "partial 23S ribosomal RNA". It matches the Rfam family "Bacterial large subunit ribosomal RNA", at positions 2688 to 2925 of the family's 2925-position model. Lineage: Bacteria; Pseudomonadati; Pseudomonadota; Alphaproteobacteria; Hyphomonadales; Hyphomonadaceae. The record is from RNAcentral.